Macaca mulatta (Rhesus monkey) is the source of this 2671-nucleotide non-coding RNA. The record is from RefSeq and is a predicted model, not a curated record. NCBI's taxonomy places the organism in Eukaryota, Metazoa, Chordata, Mammalia, Primates, Cercopithecidae.
CUGUGAGGCCAACCUCCUAGCAUGAAAUGGAUCCAUGUAAGAGGCUCAGCAUGCUAUUACCCCAUAUUAUUAACAUAUAAUAUGCCAUGUGCAGCAAUGAGACUCCUUAAAGGGAUCAGGUUCUGAAUUAAUGUAUCAUCUGUACUUGGAUUAUCAGCAUCAAAUGCAACUCUUCGUGUAUUGGUUAUUCCAACAGCUAUUAGAAGAAUGAAGAUUAUAUCACAGAAAACCUUUAGGGAGAAAGUGGGGAAAUAAAAACAGUUUCUAUCAACUGCAGAAUUUGUGCUUGCCUAUCAACAAUGCACAUUUACUUCCAGUACGACUUCCCUGUAUUUUUCAUGUUAUGUUUUAAAAGUUAGCAUUCACCAACAGGAAGAAAUUCUGCAACAGAACUCAGAACCAAAAUUAGAGCUCACAGAGGAAAGCAAAAUGGCACGAACACAGACCUAACUAACAGAGCUCGCUUUCUGCCCCCAUCCUGCUGCUAGAAACCAGACACUAUGUUAGGCACAGUGAGGCAAGCCUAGGAAGGCUCCAAUCACAGAUCCAUGAUCUAUGACUGUGCAUUUCUGAUUCGGUUCUUGAGAUGCAGAUGCUGAAGCUACUGUACCAUCUGCCAAGAGCAACGGCUGCUCCACGAGACCUUCACUCCUCGCAAAUCUCACUUAAAAGACCCACCUCUAACUUGGUAUUUUACACUCAAUGUUAAUAUUUAAGUAUACACGGCACUGCGGUGCAAUAUAAAUGCUUGUCAAAAAUAAGAUCCUUGAAAGCAUACACUAUUUCCUUUUUUCCUCUUGCAGUGUCAAGCAAUUAACAGGUAUUAAAUAACCACUGACUAGUCAACUACAAAAAAGAGGGAUGUGAGCAAGAAUACUAGCAAGAACAAGUAUCUGUUACCAUGUCUUCCCACCCACCCAACUGUGGAGGAAAAAACUCCCUCCUCUCAAAUCAAGGCAGGCUGCUUACAAGGAGCACCACGUGAAAGGGAAAAAUGGCCACUCUACGCAAUAUGCCUAUUUUGAUGUGAAGGGCUGGUCUGUCGUUAGCACUUCCCAAUCAGUAGCACUCACAAAUAGGUCUAAACUUGGAAAAUUAAAAAAAAAAAAAAAAAAAAAAAAACUCCCUAUCAAACAAUGAGAAUCAAGAGUAAAAAAGAAAUAGCAGUUUGCUAAAAAAGAGACUAAAAUACAUCAGGGCCUUAGAAGAGUUAUUUCUGCAUUCCCUGCACAUACGACAUCAUUCAUGAAGAAGGCAAUGGUACAAAUAUAGCAUAAAUGUCGUCUGCUCUAGCUUGUAAUUUAAAAUGCAAAUGCUAAUGAGCGAACUGGUAUAUCAGUGGAGUUAAUAACCGCAUGCCUAGCACAGGGGCUGCAUCCAAAACACACACAGAGAAGAGACAGACACCAUGUUCCAAUUUAAAAAUAAAAACACCCAAAUUAACCCUAGAAAAAUCACUAGCAGAUGUACAAGCUCAGGAAAAGGAGGCACACAAGGGCAGGGAAAUGGGAACUUCUCCACCAGCCGCAGACUAACCAGUCAAUUUAAAUAUUUUCCUACAUAUAGUAAAGGUAAGCAUAGGAGUUACGAGGGUUUACUGAGGAAUGCUAUUGUAAAAGCAUUCCAGAGUAUAAUAAGUAUAAUAAGGAAAAGCUACAGGGAAUCCAGAAAGCUUGAAUAGAAAGUUUUCUCCAAAGCCGACUUUAGAAGCCUAUAAGCUAAUCUUGCAGGGAGCCAAAUGAGAUGUAGAUCUCAUUUACUUCAUCAUAGGCAAAGGGUGAAGAAGCUUUGGUUAAAAAAAGCCCAAAAACUUACAAGGUCUAGAUUUAAAGGGUCAUUUAAGUAAAUUGGAAAAAGCUCUAAUGAUGAAAUAAAAUGAUGGAGAGAAUGCAAUUGUGUCUCAAAUGCCUUCCAAACAUGAAAGGAACUUCUGUGGAUUGUUCUUGCUCCUCAUAGGCUGGUGCUUGGCAGCCCUGCAGCAGAAUGUGGGAACACUCCACAGCACUGAGAUGAAGAGCAGCUCCUUGGGCUUCCUCAGAGCCCCCCACGCAUGGGCAACGAGGAAGUGCAUUGUGUGGUUAGUGGCCCUGUCCAGCGCCAGGACUGAAACUACGACGCCUCCUCAAGGCCAGCAGGAGAGUGAGCUUGCACAUGCUGCCCACAUUGGACACCUAGUGUCUUCUAGUUCCCAUGUUAGUGCUAUUCAUUCAAAUUCCACACAAAGAGCCAGGCCCAAACUCUAACAGAUCCAGCCCAUCUGACUGGUGAAGCCUCAGGAAAACUUUUGAAAGAAACUCAAGGCAGUUCUUCCUGAGAUCUGAUAUAGGUCAACUUCUUCUGCCCAGAUAAAUCAAACCCAACCUGCCCAAAGAAAAUGCAGCAGGCCUUCUUGGAAAUUCAAAUGCCAUCGCCCGGAGGAAAACUUUUCCAUUCAACAAUUGUUAUUUGCUCUGUAUUCUUAUACUAUGUGGCCUGUGCUUUUGAUAACUGCUCUUUUGUAUUUCCUUGUUUACAUUUUUUUGUAUGGCCAUCUACACAACUAGACUCAAAGAUAUUUGAGGGAGAAGUUAUCCUACUAAUUUAUGUAUCAUCCAAAAUUUAACUACUGAAGACUACCUUUCUUAAUCUGUGCUUGUAAAAAUCUUGGACUUAUUAAAAAACACUCCCCAAA